AAAUAGUGUUCCAAUGUCCGAUGGGAAUAAAAUAAAUGAUGUCCACUGUAUGACGAUGUUCAUCAUCAACAUUAUAAUUUGUUUAACAUCAGUUUUAGUAGUAAUGAAAAUAAAUAAUUCACUUAGCUAGGUAAUUCUCUACAUGUCAAACAAAUUAUUGCCCAAUACGUAAGUAUUUUCAUUGAAGAAGAAAAACAAAAUUCAUCAUCAUCAUCAUUC
Molecule: non-coding RNA, 219 nt
Organism: Dermatophagoides farinae (American house dust mite)
Lineage: Eukaryota; Metazoa; Arthropoda; Arachnida; Sarcoptiformes; Pyroglyphidae
Source: RefSeq, a predicted model, not a curated record